CCUUGUACACACCGCCCGUCACACCAUGGGAGUUGGUUUUACCUUAAGACGGUGCGCUAACCGCAAGGAGGCAGCCGGCCACGGUAAGAUCAGCGACUGGGGUG
Molecule: ribosomal RNA, 104 nt
Filed under: uncultured bacterium
Lineage: Bacteria
Description: partial 16S ribosomal RNA
Rfam family: Bacterial small subunit ribosomal RNA
Source: RNAcentral